AACGAGAGCGACCGGUGCUUGCACUGGUCAAUCUAGUGGCGAACGGGUGAGUAACACGUGGGUAACCUGCCCAUCAGAGGGGGAUAACAUCCGGAAACGGAUGCUAAAACCGCAUAGGUCUUCGAGCCGCAUGGCUUGAAGAGGAAAAGAGGCGCAAGCUUCUGCUGAUGGAUGGACCCGCGGUGCAUUAGCUAGUUGGUGAGGUAACGGCUCACCAAGGCAGUGAUGCAUAGCCGACCUGAGAGGGUGAUCGGCCACAUUGGGACUGAGACACGGCCCAAACUCCUACGGGAGGCAGCAGUAGGGAAUCUUCCGCAAUGGACGCAAGUCUGACGGAGCAACGCCGCGUGAGUGAAGAAGGUUUUCGGAUCGUAAAACUCUGUUGUUAGAGAAGAACAAGUGCUAGAGUAACUGUUAGCGCCUUGACGGUAUCUAACCAGAAAGCCACGGCUAACUACGUGCCAGCAGCCGCGGUAAUACGUAGGUGGCAAGCGUUGUCCGGAUUUAUUGGGCGUAAAGCGAGCGCAGGCGGUUCCUUAAGUCUGAUGUGAAAGCCCCCGGCUCAACCGGGGAGGGUCAUUGGAAACUGGGGAACUUGAGUGCAGAAGAGGAGAGUGGAAUUCCAUGUGUAGCGGUGAAAUGCGUAGAUAUAUGGAGGAAC
This 661-nucleotide ribosomal RNA is filed under the name uncultured Bacilli bacterium. RNAcentral's name for it is "bacterial SSU rRNA". It matches the Rfam family "Bacterial small subunit ribosomal RNA", at positions 65 to 707 of the family's 1533-position model. The record is from RNAcentral. Lineage: Bacteria; Bacillati; Bacillota; Bacilli.